UUUGUUCAAUGUUUUCCUGUGUUCCAUGUUUGUCGUGUGCUCAUUAGGUUGUGUCCACCUGUUCUCGUCUACUUUGUCGACCAAUCAGCUCUCUCUAGCCACUCGUCUUGUCCAGGUGUUCCUCGUUGUCUCGUCAAUUUGUUUGUAUUUAGUUCCCUGGUUUCUUUCAGUUCUGAGAUUCCCGCACUCCUGCCUUGCCUCCCUGCUUCCCUGCAAUUGGGUCCACCAUGUUCUUGCCUUGCAUUCCUCGCCGUCGCCCUAACCAUGUUCAUGACAGUCUGGCCUGAACCCUUCACCGGGGUGUUCCACGCUGUCCGGACCCGGCAGAGGCGAGGACUCGGGAAAGAACACCGAGACAACGCGCCUGGCGAUAAUCGGCCUUCCGAGGCGGGAUCUCGGAAGGAAGGGUGCCUGUGGGACCCGCGCUCCCUGCUGUCUAGAGUGUUGUCGCACAUCAAAUCAUUUGAUUGUGGGAGGCCGUGUCGUUCAAAAGCGCAAUAUCUCAUUGGUUUUGUUUCAAGCCCAUUUUCGGGCUAAAAUACAUGACCCCAUUGCCUCAAAAAUGGUUUGCUCCAAACCAUUUUUAGGGGUGGACAAGUGGCUCUAUAAUGAAUCCCAGCACCACUACACCUCGGAUCCUACAAUCGGCCACUUAAAAUGUUGCGGCUUCGCUGAGUCAAAGAGGUCAGAAAGUGAACUUUACAUGAACACAGAAGACGGAGAUGUCCAGCACUGCAACUUGACAGCAAGUAACAAGGCAACUUGUAUGGCUACAUGCUGAUUUUUGGGGGUUUCACCACCGCUCAUACUUUUGUGUUGUUGCCGCCAUUGUUACCAUAGCAACCCAUGCAAAUGGCUCAGCACUUCCGACUAAAAGGCCUAUUGUCUUUUCCCGGCAUGACUGUGUUCUAGGGCACAGAGCAACAUCCGGUAAAGGACGCUCGGAAACUCCUUGGGGAGUCACAAACG
Molecule: long non-coding RNA, 969 nt
Organism: Phyllopteryx taeniolatus (common seadragon)
Lineage: Eukaryota; Metazoa; Chordata; Actinopteri; Syngnathiformes; Syngnathidae
Exons: 3
Source: RefSeq, a predicted model, not a curated record